This is an RNA transcript of Bombus terrestris (buff-tailed bumblebee), 1722 nucleotides long. RefSeq lists it as uncharacterized. Lineage: Eukaryota; Metazoa; Arthropoda; Insecta; Hymenoptera; Apidae. The record is from RefSeq and is a predicted model, not a curated record. The transcript is spliced from 8 exons.
UAUACAAUAUAACAUAAAUAAUAUAUAACAUUAACAUUCACAUAAUAUAACAUCAACAUAAUAUAUAAUAUUAACAUUCACUGACAAUCUUCUUUUAUAUUAUUUUCUUUCAUAUACACUAGUAUAUGGUAUAUGAAAGAGUAUUCAAUUUUUAUUUUACGAAAAAUGGUGGAUUUAUUCGGCAAAGAUAAGGGAAAUAUUUCAUUGUCAACACAAUUACAAUCUUAUGAAGAUGAAGACCAAAAAAGACUGCCAACGAUUAUUAAUUUGCAAAAAACCUUUUAUAGUAUUAAAAUUGCAGAUAUUGAAAAUAGAAUAAAUAGGUUUGACGAAAGAAACGACGAAUUAUUAAAUGCAAUCGAAACUACAAAUGAACAGACAGCUAUAGUAGAUGCAGAAACGACUGAAGAAAUUGCAAAUUUAAACAAAUUACUUUCAACCCAAAAUAAUUUAGUAGAAAAUUUAAAAGGAAAGAUCGACAUCAUAGAAAAUGAUCGAAUAGAAAGUGAAAAAUUACACGAAGAGAAAAUAGAACUGUUUGCUCGAAAGUACAAAAAAACGAAGGUUGAAUUAAUUUCUCAGAUCAAAGUCUUAAAUGUAAGAAUUAAUGUUUUGGAAGAUUUUAAAAAAAUGCAAGAUGUACUGAAAGAAAAGUUCCAAGCAAAUGAGGUGCAAAUGGUGGAGAAUGAAGAAAGGAUAAAAGAAACGAUGGAAAUUAUUAAUCGAAAAAUUGAAUUCGAUAAGGAAAUGGUCAAAAAUGAAAUGUACGAUUGUCUUCAUGAUCUAGCGAUACAGUUUCAGAAAGAAGUUAACAAACAUAUAAAUUUGCCAAAUCAAAGAUUAAUGAGAGAAAAUAUUAUGUUAAAAAAUGAAUUGUUACAAAUUUCUACAAGAGUUUCAUCGAAUAUUGACACCAAUAUCAUUCUUAAAAAUGCAGCAAUUGAUUACAAAAAGAGAAUGGGUGUACGAACUGCCUUUAUAAGAGAAAAUAUAGUAAUCGCGAAAGUACAGAAUGAAUUACUAAAACGAUUAAGGAAGAAGUUUUACAAUACAAAAGGAUAUCUUUCAUCUAUUAAUAUUCUUGAUCCUGAUGCAGAACAGAAAUAUUUAAUGUUAAUAGAAAAUGCCCGUCGAGAAGAGAACGACAUUAAUUUUCGUUUCUCAUCACUGAAAGCUUUACUUCAUAAAGAAAGAACGAAAAUUAACGUUGCGAGAUAUAUUUUGAAAAGAUUAGAAUGCAAAAUAAGAGCACUUUUGGAAACAAUUUAUGAUUUGAAGUAUAAUGCAAUGUGUUUACUAAAAUAUCCCUCUAGUCGCAAGGAUCUAAUAACAUUAAGCUGUAUUGAGUCAUUCUUAUUCUUGAGAGAUUUACUUAUUAAAAGACAAUUAAAACUUCGAAGCCACAUUAUUAAAUCGUCUGAAACUAUACCACAAGAAUUAGAAUCUGUGUCACAUAUAGAGGACAUCUCUGAAGAUAUUGAUUUUGACAUAACAGUAAACUUUAUAGAAGAAGAAUCAAGUAAAGAAACUUUAGAUGAAAUGAAAUAUAUUGACGAUGUAGAGGAACAAAAAGAAAUAUCUGUUGAAGAUAGGGAAUCUCAAGAAUCAUUCAUUGAAGAUAUUCUCAAAGAUACUACUGAUUUUCAUGUAGAAAAUUAAUAUAAAUUAAAUGCAAACUAUGAGUUUGCAAAGGAAUCAUUAUCUGACAUCAUAGAAGAAUAA